Oreochromis aureus is the source of this 368-nucleotide long non-coding RNA. RefSeq lists it as uncharacterized. The transcript has 3 exons. NCBI's taxonomy places the organism in Eukaryota, Metazoa, Chordata, Actinopteri, Cichliformes, Cichlidae. The record is from RefSeq and is a predicted model, not a curated record.
CGAGGCUGGCUCGCCUGCGGUCCCGGCGUACCAUUGGUGGAGGCUGGCUGUCAUCAUCACCAUCUUCAUGCCGUAGGGUCGUCUGGGGAAAGACAUGACAGGUUGUAAAGUGAGAGGUGUCUUUGGGAAACUGUCUCCAUGCCCUGCUCCUCCAGACCAUCUACCAUAUCAUAAAAUGAAUCCUGGUCGGGCAGUGCUGCAAGAGUCUGCAAAAAGAAAGGAGACGUCGUCAAGAUAGGUGAUGGCUUGGAUCAGCAGUGGCGCGUUGGACUCUGAGUACUCCACAAACACCAGCAACAGCUUCAAAGCUGUUUUCACCACCAGACGGAACUACGGUGGAAAUAUAAAGAAACUUGCAUAAAGUAUGG